GGCGAUGUAGCUCAGCUGGUUAGAGCAUCGGAAUCAUAAUCCGAGUGUCCGGGGUUCAAGUCCCUGCAUCGCUACCA
RNAcentral lists this transfer RNA (77 nucleotides) under Candidatus Cloacimonadota bacterium. RNAcentral's name for it is "Candidatus Cloacimonetes bacterium tRNA-Met". It matches the Rfam family "tRNA". Rfam says of the family: Transfer RNA (tRNA) molecules are approximately 80 nucleotides in length. RNAcentral also lists the same sequence under 2 other names. Lineage: Bacteria; Pseudomonadati; Candidatus Cloacimonadota. The record is from RNAcentral.